Molecule: long non-coding RNA, 682 nt
Organism: Rosa rugosa (rugosa rose)
Lineage: Eukaryota; Viridiplantae; Streptophyta; Magnoliopsida; Rosales; Rosaceae
Exons: 3
Source: RefSeq, a predicted model, not a curated record
UCUACAAACCAACAACCAAAGCCGGGUCAAGUCAAGUUCUUCAAGGAAAUAGAAAUUGAAGCACCGAGAUGAGAGAAGACAGUACGAAGAGAGAGAAAGUAGAUCUGGUUUCUCAAUUCUCCAUCUUCUACCUCCGAGCAUCAUCCGGCGACAUCGCCACUACCAAUGGACUCUUCGGCCUCCAAUUAGUUGACCCAGGCUGCGUCAUCCAACGAUAUCGAAAGUCAGCACCACAUGUUUCCGACUGCGAGUCCGGAUCUACACCCAACAGAGAUCACAGAAUCGGGAGCGAUUUGGGGAUUUAGGGUUUCGAAAUCGAAAGCGUCGUCGUUUUCGAAAUGGCGUUGGGCAAGGUGAAGGAGCUCAUCUCGUCCAAUCCGGUAGUCAUCUUCAGGUUCUCUCUACCUCUUCAUCUUCUUCUGUGUGUCUAUAUAUAUAGAAUUGUCGAUCGUUUUGAACCAAUUUGGAAAUUUGACAAUGAGAUUUUGUUUCGCAGCAACAAGCUUUGUCCUUACUGUGUUUGCGUGAAGUAGCUCUUCGUUCUAAAAUUGGGAGUCCAGUACAAGGCCAUUGAAUUGGACCAAGAGAUGUCUGUCUAUAUAUGCUUCAAACUAAGGGCAAUAGAAUGGUGUAUUUCGGUGAUAUGAACUGGUUCCCACUCCUCAAGCGAUCCAAGACUGUA